GUCCUGGCAAUAAACGGUGCGCGUUUGGUGUGGGAGGAUUCGACCCUUCCGUGCCGGAGCUAACGCGUUAAACGCGCCGCCUGGGAGUACGGUCGCAAGAUUAAACUCAAAGAAAUUGACUGGGCCCGCACAAGCGGUGGAGUAUGUGGCUUAAUUCGAUGCAACGCGAAGAACCUUACCUGGGCUUGACAUGCAUCUCUAAGUCGAUGAAAGUUGACGAGUGUAGCAAUACACAAUUUGCACAGGUGCUGCAUGGCUGUCGU
Molecule: ribosomal RNA, 263 nt
Filed under: uncultured bacterium
Lineage: Bacteria
Description: partial 16S ribosomal RNA
Rfam family: Bacterial small subunit ribosomal RNA
Source: RNAcentral